Long non-coding RNA from Mytilus californianus (California mussel), 701 nucleotides. RefSeq lists it as uncharacterized. The record is from RefSeq and is a predicted model, not a curated record. The transcript is spliced from 2 exons. NCBI's taxonomy places the organism in Eukaryota, Metazoa, Mollusca, Bivalvia, Mytilida, Mytilidae.
ACUGAAUGGAAUGAAACCAAACAUGGCAUGAAUGUUCCUUAUGAGGUGCUGACCAAGUGUUGUUACUUUGCAGUAGGUCCAUCAUCCAAGAUGGCCGACAGCAGGGGACUUAGUUUAACAAAGGACCUAUGGGAAAUACAUACAAAUGUCUUCUUUUAGAGAACCACUGAAUGGAAUGAAACCAAACAUGGCAUGAAUCUUCCUUAUGAGAUGCUGACCAAGUGUUGUUACUUUGUAGCCGAUCCAUCAUCCAAGAUGGCCGCCAGCGGGGGACUUAGUUUUACAUAGGACCCUAUGGGAAAUACAUAAAAAUGUCUUCUUUUAGAGAACCAAUAAAUGGAAUGGAACCAAACAUGGCAUGAAUGUUCCUUAUGAGAUGUUGACCAAGUGUUGUUACUUUGCAGCCGAUCCAUCAUCCAAGAUGGCCGCCAGCAGGGGACUUAGUUUAACAUAGGACCCUAUUGGAAAUACAUACAAAUGUCUUCUUUUAGAGUACCACUGAAUGGAAUGAAACCAAACAUGGCAUGAAUGUUCCUUAUGAAGUGCUGACCAAGUGUUGCUACUUUGUUGCCGAUUUACUGUUCAAGAUGGCCACCAGGAUAUUUUAUUAAAUAACGGGACCAAUAUUAAUCAAAAUUUGGCCUCAAUCAUUAUUUGGGUAUCUGUUAUGAUUUUUAUCUAUCUUUACAUGAUUUCUAAAA